UCUUACCUGUAGCAGAAUCUCACCUGUCAACAGGAAAAAUUAGUGCAGACAACAUCCACACUCAGACAGAUGAGAGAGCAGCUCCAUGUGCACAUCAGAGCUCAUCCGACACAGAGAUGAAGAAGAUGAAUGAGCUGGAACCUUCUCAGAGUCUGGAGGCGGACAGAUCUGAGGAUGUUUUUGGCAACUUCACAUGAGAUUCUUCAAUCAGAUGAGAUAGUGUUGGCCUAGGAUCUGAAGUGUGAGUUUCAUCUUUCUUCACCCAUGUAAGAGCAUCUCACACACCACACCGAGAUGACUGAUGCCGCUUUAGUGCGACAGGACUUUCAUCAUCGCUGUCUUCUGCUCCUCAAACUGACAAGAGCUGGAGUCCACCGCAGUGCAGAUGUGUUUGUUUAUUCGUCAGCUGUUCACUAGAGGAUGACCGUAUAGACAGAUUACUCGCCGAUCAGACCCCAGAGUUCACAACCUAAUCACCCUCAGGUCAUCCAAGAUCAAGAUGAAUUUGUUUCUUCAUCCGAUUUGGAGAAAUGUAG
Carassius auratus (goldfish) is the source of this 536-nucleotide long non-coding RNA. RefSeq lists it as uncharacterized. The record is from RefSeq and is a predicted model, not a curated record. NCBI's taxonomy places the organism in Eukaryota, Metazoa, Chordata, Actinopteri, Cypriniformes, Cyprinidae. The transcript is spliced from 3 exons.